Molecule: non-coding RNA, 220 nt
Organism: Leptonychotes weddellii (Weddell seal)
Lineage: Eukaryota; Metazoa; Chordata; Mammalia; Carnivora; Phocidae
Source: RefSeq, a predicted model, not a curated record
CCUAAGAGAGGACUGUGGCACAAGGAGUCAUGCAGAUGAGAAGACAAACAUGCCAGAAUGGGGUGGUGCCUCAGUGAACUACCUGAAGAUUGAUCUCAGUCUCCCAUUCAGGAGUCUUUGGAGCAGCCUCAGAAAGUUCCAUUCCCAACUUUUCUUCAAGCUGCAUAUGACCAGUUCAUUACAAGAAAUGAAGCUUUGGGCGCCUGGGUGGCUCAGAUGG